Molecule: transfer RNA, 74 nt
Filed under: Venatoribacter cucullus
Lineage: Bacteria; Pseudomonadati; Pseudomonadota; Gammaproteobacteria; Oceanospirillales; Oceanospirillaceae
Description: Venatorbacter cucullus tRNA-Phe
Source: RNAcentral
GAAGGGUGUAAGUCUCAAUGGUAGAGCGGGGGCGAAAGCCGCCGUGUUGCAGGUUCGAUUCCUGCCACCCUUCA